UAGGGAAUCUUCGGCAAUGGACGAAAGUCGGACCGAGCAACGCCGCGUGAGUGAAGAAGGUUUUCGGAUCGUAAAAGUCUGUUGUUAGAGAAGAACAAGGACGUUAGUAACUGAACGUCCCCUGACGGUAUCUAACCAGAAAGCCACGGCUAACUACGUGCCAGCAGCCGCGGUAAUACGUAGGUGGCAAGCGUUGUCCGGAUUUAUUGGGCGUAAAGCGAGCGCAGGCGUUUUCUUAAGUCUGAUGUGAAAGCCCCCGGAUCAACCGGGGAGGGUCAUUGGAAACUGGGAGACGUGAGUGCAGAAGAGGAGAGUGGAAUUCCAUGUGUAGCGGUGAAAUGCGUAGAUAUAUGGAGGAACACCAGUGGCGAAGGCGGCUCUCUGGUCUGUAACUGCCGCUGAGGCUCGAAAGCGUGGGGAGCAAACAGG
This 429-nucleotide ribosomal RNA is filed under the name Gemmatimonadota bacterium. RNAcentral describes it as "Gemmatimonadetes bacterium partial 16S ribosomal RNA". It matches the Rfam family "Bacterial small subunit ribosomal RNA", at positions 355 to 776 of the family's 1533-position model. Lineage: Bacteria; Pseudomonadati; Gemmatimonadota. The record is from RNAcentral.